This 749-nucleotide ribosomal RNA is filed under the name uncultured bacterium. Its description in RNAcentral is "bacterial SSU rRNA". It matches the Rfam family "Bacterial small subunit ribosomal RNA", at positions 8 to 796 of the family's 1533-position model. The record is from RNAcentral.
AGAGUUUGAUCCUGGCUCAGGAUGAACGCUGGCGGUAUGCUUAACACAUGCAAGUCGAACGAAUCCCUUCGGGGAUGAGUGGCGGACGGGUGAGUAACGCGUGAGAAUUUACCAAAAGGACCGGGACAACCACUGGAAACGGUGGCUAAUACCGGAUGAGCCGAAAAGUAAAAAAGGGAAACCUGCCUUUUGAAGAGCUCGCGUCUGAUUAGCUAGUUGGUGAGGUAAGAGCUCACCAAGGCAGCGAUCAGUAGCUGGUCUGAGAGGAUGACCAGCCACACUGGGACUGAGACACGGCCCAGACUCCUACGGGAGGCAGCAGUGGGGAAUUUUCCGCAAUGGGCGAAAGCCUGACGGAGCAAUACCGCGUGAGGGAAGAAGGCUCUUGGGUCGUAAACCUCUUUUAUCAGGGAAGAAAAAAAUGACGGUACCUGAAGAAUCAGCCUCGGCUAACUCCGUGCCAGCAGCCGCGGUAAUACGGAGGAGGCAAGCGUUAUCCGGAAUUAUUGGGCGUAAAGCGUCCGCAGGUGGCUUAUCAAGUCUGCUGUCAAAGAGUGGGGCUUAACCCCAUUAAGGCAGUGGAAACUGAGAAGCUAGAGUGCCGUAGGGGUAGAGGGAAUUCCCGGUGUAGCGGUGAAAUGCGUAGAGAUCGGGAAGAACAUCGGUGGCGAAAGCGCUCUACUGGACGGCAACUGACACUCAGGGACGAAAGCUAGGGGAGCGAAUGGGAUUAGAUACCCUAGUAGUCC